CUACGGGACUCUGCAGUGGGGAAUAUUGGACAAUGGGCGAAAGCCUGAUCCAGCCAUGCCGCGUGUGUGAAGAAGGCCUUCGGGUUGUAAAGCACUUUCAGUGGGGAAGAAAGCCUUGGGGCUAAUACCCUCGAGGAAGGACAUCACCCACAGAAGAAGCACCGGCUAACUCCGUGCCAGCAGCCGCGGUAAUACGGAGGGUGCGAGCGUUAAUCGGAAUUACUGGGCGUAAAGCGCGCGUAGGCGGUCUGAUAAGCCGGUUGUGAAAGCCCCGGGCUCAACCUGGGAACGGCAUCCGGAACUGUCAGGCUAGAGUGCAGGAGAGGAAGGUAGAAUUCCCGGUGUAGCGGUGAAAUGCGUAGAGAUCGGGAGGAAUACCAGUGGCGAAGGCGGCCUUCUGGACUGACACUGACGCUGAGGUGCGAAAGCGUGGGUAGCAAACAGGAUUAGAUACCCCAGUAGUC
This 464-nucleotide ribosomal RNA is filed under the name Vreelandella stevensii. RNAcentral describes it as "partial 16S ribosomal RNA". It matches the Rfam family "Bacterial small subunit ribosomal RNA", at positions 339 to 795 of the family's 1533-position model. Lineage: Bacteria; Pseudomonadati; Pseudomonadota; Gammaproteobacteria; Oceanospirillales; Halomonadaceae. The record is from RNAcentral.